This 301-nucleotide ribosomal RNA is filed under the name uncultured bacterium. RNAcentral's name for it is "partial 16S ribosomal RNA". It matches the Rfam family "Bacterial small subunit ribosomal RNA", at positions 509 to 809 of the family's 1533-position model. The record is from RNAcentral.
CAGCCGCCACGGUAAUACGUAGGUGGCAAGCGUUGUCCGGAAUUAUUGGGCGUAAAGGGCUCGCAGGCGGUUUCUUAAGUCUGAUGUGAAAGCCCCCGGCUUAACCGGGGAGGGUCAUUGGAAACUGGGAAACUUGAGUGCAGAAGAGGAGAGUGGAAUUCCACGUGUAGCGGUGAAAUGCGUAGAGAUGUGGAGGAACACCAGUGGCGAAGGCGACUCUCUGGUCUGUAACUGACGCUGAGGAGCGAAAGCGUGGGGAGCGAACAGGAUUAGAUACCCCAGUAGUCCCUGUCUCUUAUCC